GCUUGUACAGGUGCUGCAUGGCUGUCGUCAGCUCGUGUCGUGAGAUGUUCGGUUAAGUCCGCUAACGAGCGCAACCCUCGCUGUGUGUUACAAGUGUCACACGGAACUGCCGGUCAUAAACCGGAGGAAGGUGGGGAUGACGUCAAGUCAGCAUGGCCUUUAUAUCCUGGGCUACACACACGCUACAAUGGGAAGGGACAAUAGGUUGCGAAGCCGCGAGGUGGAGCCAAUCCAGUAAAACUUCCCUCAGUUCAGAUUGCAGGCUGCAACUCGCCUGCAUGAAGUUGGAGUUGCUAGUAAACGCAGGUCAGCCAUACUGCGUUGAAUACGUUCCCGGGGCUU
RNAcentral lists this ribosomal RNA (342 nucleotides) under uncultured Anaerolineaceae bacterium. Its description in RNAcentral is "bacterial SSU rRNA". It matches the Rfam family "Bacterial small subunit ribosomal RNA", at positions 1028 to 1382 of the family's 1533-position model. The record is from RNAcentral. Lineage: Bacteria; Bacillati; Chloroflexota; Anaerolineae; Anaerolineales; Anaerolineaceae.